RNAcentral lists this ribosomal RNA (774 nucleotides) under uncultured Neocallimastigales. Its description in RNAcentral is "partial large subunit ribosomal RNA". It matches the Rfam family "Eukaryotic large subunit ribosomal RNA", at positions 20 to 645 of the family's 3401-position model. Lineage: Eukaryota; Fungi; Neocallimastigomycota; Neocallimastigomycetes; Neocallimastigales. The record is from RNAcentral.
UACUAGAGUAGCACUCGCAUAUCAAUAAGCGGAGGAAAAGAAACUAACAAGGAUUCCCCUAGUAACGGCGAGUGAAGCGGGAAGAGCUCAAAUUUGAAAUCUUAAAGGGUUUCCCUUUACGAAUUGUAGUUUAAAGAAGUGUUUUCUGUUGAGGUUUUGGUAAAAGUUCUUUGGAAUAGGACAUCAUAGAGGGUGAGAAUCCCGUAUUUGACCUUUACUUUCAACUUUGUGAUACACUUUCAAAGAGUCGGAUUGUUUGGGAAUGCAGUCCAAAAUGGGUGGUAAAUUUCAUCUAAAGCUAAAUAUUGGCGAGAGACCGAUAGCGAACAAGUACCGUGAGGGAAAGAUGAAAAGAACUUUGAAAAGAGAGUUAAACAGUACGUGAAAUUGUCAAAAGGGAAGCGUUUGACACCAGUGUUGUUUUUCUGAAAAUCAAUUAAAGAACUGUUUAUGCUAAGUUGUUUAGACUUUAUCAGCUAACUGUUUAGUUUUGAGCUUUUCUUUAAUGCACUUUUCAGUUAACAAGUCAACAUCAAUUUCUUUUGCUGUAAAAAAGCUUGAGGAAGGUGGCUUGAGAUUCGUCUUAAGCGUUUAUAGCCUCUUGCCUAUGCAGUCGGAGAGAUUGAGGUCUGCAGCGUAGAUCCUUCGGGGCUAAAUGCAUUUGUGCUAAGUUAUAGCAUUUUAUAGACAACUUGUUGACUAUGAUUUGUCUUGUAGCUUACUCGCUUAUGUUAUUUUACCUACGCUUAGGAUGUUGAUCUCUCACAGUCGAGC